CCUGUGAUAGCUCAGCUGGUAGAGCAGAGGACUGUAGAUCCUUAGGUCGCUGGUUCAACUCCAGUUUGAAGGA
Hirundo rustica (Barn swallow) is the source of this 73-nucleotide non-coding RNA. The record is from the annotation of a RefSeq genome assembly. Lineage: Eukaryota; Metazoa; Chordata; Aves; Passeriformes; Hirundinidae.